GCAAGGGGGGGGCCUAACACAUGCAAGUCGAACGGACCUUUCGGGGUUAGUGGCGGACGGGUGAGUAACACGUGGGAACGUGCCUUUUGGUUCGGAAUAGCUCCUGGAAACGGGUGGUAAUGCCGAAUGUGCCCUUUGGGGGAAAGAUUUAUCGCCAUUAGAGCGGCCCGCGUCUGAUUAGCUAGUUGGUGAGGUAAAGGCUCACCAAGGCGACGAUCAGUAGCUGGUCUGAGAGGAUGACCAGCCACAUUGGGACUGAGACACGGCCCAAACUCCUACGGGAGGCAGCAGUGGGGAAUCUUGCGCAAUGGGCGAAAGCCUGACGCAGCCAUGCCGCGUGAAUGAUGAAGGUCUUAGGAUUGUAAAAUUCUUUCACCGGGGACGAUAAUGACGGUACCCGGAGAAGAAGCCCCGGCUAACUUCGUGCCAGCAGCCGCGGUAAUACGAAGGGGGCUAGCGUUGCUCGGAAUUACUGGGCGUAAAGGGAGCGUAGGCGGACAUUUAAGUCAGGGGUGAAAUCCCAGAGCUCAACUCUGGAACUGCCUUUGAUACUGGGUGUCUUGAGUGUGAUAGAGGUAAGUGGAACUCCGAGUGUAGAGGUGAAAUUCGUAGAUAUUCGGAAGAACACCAGUGGCGAAGGCGACUUACUGGAUCAUUACUGACGCUGAGGCUCGAAAGCGUGGGGAGCAAACAGGAUUAGAUACCCUGGUAGUCCACGCCGUAAACGAUGAUUGCUAGUUGUCGGGGAUGUUUACAUCUCGGUGACGCAUCUAACGCAUUAAGCAAAUCCGCCUGGGGGAGUACGGUCGCAGAUUAAAACUCAAGGAAAUUGACGGGGGCCCGCACAAGCGGUGGGAGCAUGUGGCUUUAAUUCGAAAGCAACGCCGCAGAACCCUUAUCACCGUUUGACAUGCCUGGGACCGCCAGAGAGAUCUGGCUUUCUCUUCGAAGACUGGGAACACAGUUGCUGCAUGACUGUCGUCAGCCUCGUGUCAUGAAAAUGCUCGGGUUUAAGAUCCCGUCUAACGGAGCGCAGCCAUCGCCAUUACAUUGCAUCGAUUAGGCCGGACUCGUAAUGGACUUGUCCAGU
RNAcentral lists this ribosomal RNA (1090 nucleotides) under bacterium. Its description in RNAcentral is "bacterial SSU rRNA". It matches the Rfam family "Bacterial small subunit ribosomal RNA", at positions 35 to 1157 of the family's 1533-position model. The record is from RNAcentral.